CCGGCACGGGUGAGUAACACGUAUCCAACCUGCCGUCUACUCUUGGACAGCCUUCUGAAAGGAAGAUUAAUACAAGAUGGCAUCAUGAGUCCGCAUGUUCACAUGAUUAAAGGUAUUCCGGUAGACGAUGGGGAUGCGUUCCAUUAGAUAGUAGGCGGGGUAACGGCCCACCUAGUCUUCGAUGGAUAGGGGUUCUGAGAGGAGGGUCCCCCACAUUGGAACUGAGACACGGUCCAA
This 237-nucleotide ribosomal RNA is filed under the name uncultured bacterium. RNAcentral describes it as "partial 16S ribosomal RNA". It matches the Rfam family "Bacterial small subunit ribosomal RNA", at positions 100 to 334 of the family's 1533-position model. The record is from RNAcentral.